AGCGAACGCUGGCGGCAGGCUUAACACAUGCAAGUCGAGCGGGCACUUUCGGGUGUCAGCGGCGGACGGGUGAGUAACGCGUGGGAACGUGCCCUCUGGUUCGGAAUAACUCAGGGAAACUUGAGCUAAUACCGGAUACGCCCUUUUGGGGAAAGGCUUGCUGCCGGAGGAUCGGCCCGCGUCUGAUUAGCUAGUUGGUGAGGUAACGGCUCACCAAGGCGACGAUCAGUAGCUGGUCUGAGAGGAUGAUCAGCCACACUGGGACUGAGACACGGCCCAGACUCCUACGGGAGGCAGCAGUGGGGAAUAUUGGACAAUGGGCGCAAGCCUGAUCCAGCCAUGCCGCGUGAGUGAUGAAGGCCUUAGGGUUGUAAAGCUCUUUUAUCUGGGACGAUAAUGACGGUACCGGAGGAAUAAGCCCCGGCUAACUUCGUG
This 435-nucleotide ribosomal RNA is filed under the name uncultured bacterium. Its description in RNAcentral is "partial 16S ribosomal RNA". It matches the Rfam family "Bacterial small subunit ribosomal RNA", at positions 29 to 507 of the family's 1533-position model. The record is from RNAcentral.